This 252-nucleotide ribosomal RNA is filed under the name uncultured bacterium. Its description in RNAcentral is "partial 16S ribosomal RNA". It matches the Rfam family "Bacterial small subunit ribosomal RNA", at positions 1248 to 1500 of the family's 1533-position model. The record is from RNAcentral.
AGCGAGCCUGCGAAGGCAAGCGGAUCUCUUAAAGCUGUUCUCAGUUCGGACUGCAGUCUGCAACUCGACUGCACGAAGCUGGAAUCGCUAGUAAUCGCGGAUCAGCACGCCGCGGUGAAUACGUUCCCGGGCCUUGUACACACCGCCCGUCACACCAUGGGAGCCGGUAAUACCCGAAGUCAGUAGUCCAACCUCGUGAGGACGCUGCCGAAGGUAGGAUUGGCGACUGGGGUGAAGUCGUAACAAGGUAAC